This is a long non-coding RNA of Oncorhynchus kisutch (coho salmon), 4449 nucleotides long. RefSeq lists it as uncharacterized. NCBI's taxonomy places the organism in Eukaryota, Metazoa, Chordata, Actinopteri, Salmoniformes, Salmonidae. The record is from RefSeq and is a predicted model, not a curated record. The transcript is spliced from 10 exons.
UUAACUUUUAUUUAUUUACAUGCAACAUGUUAACAUUUAACAUGCAAAGAGUUACAGUUCAUAUAAGGAAAUCAGUCAAUUGAAAUGAUUCAUUAGGCCCUAAUCUAUGGAUUUCACAUGACUGGGAAUACAGAUAUGCAUCUGCUGGUCACAGAUACCUUUAAAAAAAAAAGUAGGGGCGUGGAUCAGAAAACCAGUCAGUAUCUGGUGUGAACACCAUUUGCCCCAUACAGCGCGACACUCUCUUUGCUCAGGCUGUUGAUUUUGGCCUGGGAAUGUUGUCCCACAGGCUGUCCGGAGUUGCUGGAUAUUGGUGGGUACUGGGAACAUGCUGUCGUGCACAUCGAUCCAGAGCAUCCUAAACAUGCUCAAUGGGUGACAUAUCUGGUCAGUCUGCAGGCCUGGGAGAACUGGGACAUUUUCAGCUACCAGGAAUGUGUACAAAUCCUUGCGACAUGCGGUGAUGGCGGUGGAUGAAUGGCACGACAAUGAGCCUCAGGAUCUCGUAACGGUAUCUCUGCAUUCAAAUUGCCUUCGAUAAAAUGCAAUUGUGUUCGUUGUCCGUAGAUCAUGCCUUCCCAUACCAUAACCCCACCGCCGCCAUGGGGCCCUCUGUUCACAACGUUGACAUCAGCAAACCACUGGCCCACAUGACGCCAUACAGAUGGUCUGCGGUUGUGAGGCCCGGUUGAACGUGCUGCCAAAUGCAGUGAAGACGCGUGCAGCGAUGUCAUCCUGUAGCCAGUCUACUCCUGUCAGUAGGUUCUCUCCUGUCACAGCACUGCAGCCGAUGAUACACCAGUGGUGGGUCUUAAUGUCAUCCAGACAUUAAGUGUGUGUGUAUAGGUGGGUACUGUGUUCUCACCUCUCCUAUGGUCUCUACUCAGUGAUCCAGGAAUGUCCUGUUUGUUGAGUAGCUCCUGGUGUGUGUGUGUGUGUGUGUGUGUGUGUGUGUGUGUGUGUGUGUGUGUGUGUGUGAGAGAGAGAGAGACACGGGUCAAAGUACGAGGAAAUGGAGACAGUUGAUGAAAUCAAAGAAUGGAACAAAACUAGCAAAAGUUGUAGUAGAAGACAAAGACUGGUCCAAUAAUGGACUCUUUUUUUGGACAAGGAGAUUAAUUUGGGAAAUCCAUUUGUAAUAUUGAGGAGAAAGCAGUGGGAAAUGUGGAUUAAAUCAAGGUGACUAGAAGCGCUGUUAUUUUGGUUAAUUGGGUCGAUGAAGAACAGAAGAAGCGUGCACUAAUCUGGAAAAUUGUCCACGUCAGAAGUAACAUGUAUUGACCUUCGGAGCAGGGCGCCUGCCAAAGGAGGAAAAGCUGCAGUCCAAGAAGUCCAAUUAGCUGGGUAUCAUAUCUGCUGCAGUCCAAGAAGUCCAAUUAGCUGGGUAUCAUAUCUGCUGCAGUCCAAGAAGUCCAAUUAGCUGGGUAUCAUAUCUGCUGCAGCCAAGAAGUCCAAUUAGCUGGGUAUCAUAUCUGCUGCAGCCAAGAAGUCCAAUUAGCUGGGUAUCAUAUCUGCUGCAGCCAAGAAGUCCAAUUAGCUGGGUAUCAUAUCUGCUGCAGCCAAGAAGUCCAAUUAGCUGGGUAUCAUAUCUGCUGCAGCCAAGAAGUCCAAUUAGCUGGGUAUCAUAUCUGCUGCAGCCAAGAAGUCCAAUUAGCUGGGUAUCAUAUCUGCUGCAGUCCAAGAAGUCCAAUUAGCUGGGUAUCAUAUCUGCUGCAGCCAAGAAGUCCAAUUAGCUGGGUAUCAUAUCUGCUGCAGCCAAGAAGUCCAAUUAGCUGGGUAUCAUAUCUGCUGCAGCCAAGAAGUCCAAUUAGCUGGGUAUCAUAUCUGCUGCAGCCAAGAAGUCCAAUUAGCUGGGUAUCAUAUCUGCUGCAGCCAAGAAGUCCAAUUAGCUGGGUAUCAUAUCUGCUGCAGUCCAAGAAGUCCAAUUAGCUGGGUAUCAUAUCUGCUGCAGCCAAGAAGUCCAAUUAGCUGGGUAUCAUAUCUGCUGCAGCCAAGAAGUCCAAUUAGCUGGGUAUCAUAUCUGCUGCAGCCAAGAAGUCCAAUUAGCUGGGUAUCAUAUCUGCUGCAGUCCAAGAAGUCCAAUUAGCUGGGUAUCAUAUCUGCUGCAGCCAAGAAGUCCAAUUAGCUGGGUAUCAUAUCUGCUGCAGUCCAAGAAGUCCAAUUAGCUGGGUAUCAUAUCUGCUGCAGUCCAAGAAGUCCAAUUAGCUGGGUAUCAUAUCUGCUGCAGUCCAAGAAGUCCAAUUAGCUGGGUAUCAUAUCUGCUGCAGUCCAAGAAGUCCAAUUAGCUGGGUAUCAUAUCUGCUGCAGCCAAGAAGAUUUUGUGGCUUGAAGACUUUACAGCAGAAGCACUGUGUUGGACCUGGUGAGAAUGAGGUUUUUAUAGAAAAGCAGGCUGAUUUUAUUUAGUUAAUUUCUUUUUUGGUCGUUUGUAUGAUAUUUUAUUUGUUCCCGAAUGUUUUCCUUUUCGUGAUCCUUAUUAUCCACCCGCACAGUAGGUGGCUAAAUGCACAAUGUUGCGAACGCCAUUAUACCAUAGAAGAAGAAAAAGAAGGAACGGAAGCUUACUUGGUUAUUCAUGAGAGUGUUUUUGUGGGUUAAGUCCUCCGUGUGUGUAAACGGUUUCAUUUCUCUUCAAGAUGCGGACGACGAGAGAGAGAGAGAGAGAGAGAGAGAGAGAAUAUCCCGCUCAGAAAUGCAGGACAGAUGCCGGGAAGUCCAGAAGAAUGACCCGUCUGCAUUACUUGUGACAUGACUUCCUGGCUUCAAGGCAUCUGAACAGAAUCUCCACUUGGAGUUCCAUUCUGGAAUAGGAAUGUGUGCUGAAUACCUGAUUCCAGACUCAUGAGACUGAUGCACUUUGUGAAAAUCCAGACGUGGGGAUGAAGUUUCCUGAAGGGAUUAACACGACCUCCACUGGGUUUGGGUGUUGUGGUCAGUUGCAUUGCAGUGUGGACUCCAACAUACUGGUUCUUCUGUAUAUGGCUGAACAGGGAGCCGUGAUGCCAACUAGACUGGUCCUGAUGGUGGUACCAGACAAGUCACUAGAAGAUGCCUGAUACUGAACUACCUCAAGGUCCUCUUCCAGGUCCUGACUGUUGUACCAGACUGGCCACUAGCAGGAAGCUCUUUGCUGUGACAGUGAAUGAAGGUUUCUGCCCCUCUGGUUGAGGUCCUGGUGUCUGCAGGGUUUGGAAAGGUGUGACUUUAGACGGCAUCUUAACGCUCCUUCCACAUGAAGCAUUCUGGAAUGUUGUAAAUGAUGAACUCCUCAUGACACCCAGUCUGUUGGCAGUCCUGUGCUCUGGGGCUGGAUCAAGGUCUGGCCUCCCAUCGGUCCUCCUGUGGGUUGGGCAGACACUGACAAGCCUGCUUUUGCUUUAUGGUGCAGGGGUAAGGUGGGCUGCCUGCCUGGAGGGAGGGUGUCUGGGUGGGGGCUUGACCCCAGACCCUGGACUGCUGGAUGGCUACAAUGACUGAACUAUAUGGACCUGAUUUGGUUUCAGAAUGUUCUGGAUGUAGUCUAGUAAUCUAAGAUGGGGAUUAUUUGGUUUUAAAACUGUUCUGUUUGUUUAGAUCUGGUUGGCUGCUGAAGUGUUGCUGUGCAGGUGGAGUGGGAAGGUGUGUAGGAUUAUUAUAAUGCACUGAGUAUAGAGGACAUUAACACCUUCCUAAUAUUGACUUUACCCUCAGAACAGCCUGUUGUCUACAAGGGGUCUAAGCGUUCCACAGGGAUGUUGGCCCGUGACACAACUGUGGGACGGCAUUGGAGUCAAGUUAGCUGGAUUUCCUUUGGGUGGUGGACCAGAGUUGAUACACAUGAGAAACUGUUGAGCUUGACAAACCCAGCAGUGUUUCAGUUGAUACAAACCGGUGUGCCUGGCACCUGCCAUGCCUCAUUCCAAGGAUCUUAAAUCCUUUGUCUUGUCCAUUCACCCUCUGAGUGGUACACAAUCCUUGUAUUGUGGUUUAAAAACCCUUUGAACCUGUCUGUUCAUCUACACUGAUUUAACCAGUCACUUCAAUAAGGGCUCGCUUUCACCUGGUCUGGUUAAUGUAUUGACCACUCAGUGGAUAUGUGUUGUAAUGGGAAAGGGGGCAGAUCAAUAUUAGGAAGAUGUUAAUGUUCUGUUGAAUGUUCCUCUUGGAUCAUCACACUGACCCAUUAAUGUGUUCUACACUACAUACUCUGAUGUGAUGAGUCAUCAUUACCGCCCCAGUCUGAUGUAACGCUGACUGAUUGGUUACUCUCUGAUCAAGUCAUCUCAUACCUUGUGUAUUAGUCCCUACAGGAUCACCAGGGUUUAAUUCUCACUAUUUUCCCUCCAGCUCUCCUGUUUUACACCUGCAAGACCUCUUGCACUCCUGAUUGGUCAGCAAGGAAGUGGGGGAAACCAGGCCAAGUCAAUUCAACCCUGACUGUUUUGAUGUAUAAAUAAAUCUACAAAUGAA